ACGGUUACCUUGUUACGACUUCACCCCAGUUAUCAGACCUGCCUUCGACAGCUCCCUCCUUUCAGUUGGGUCACUGGCUUCGGGCAUUUCCGACUCCCAUGGUGUGACGGGCGGUGUGUACAAGACCCGGGAACGUAUUCACCGCGGCAUUCUGAUCCGCGAUUACUAGCGAUUCCAGCUUCAUGUAGUCGAGUUGCAGACUACAAUCCGAACUGAGACGUUAUUUUUGAGAUUUGCUUACCCUCGCGGGCUCGCUUCCCUUUGUUUACGCCAUUGUAGCACGUGUGUAGCCCAAAUCAUAAGGGGCAUGAUGAUUUGACGUCAUCCCCACCUUCCUCCAGGUUAUCCCUGGCAGUCUCCUCAGAGUUCCCCGCCUCGCCGCUGGCUACUGAGGAUAAGGGUUGCGCUCGUUGCGGGACUUAACCCAACAUCUCACGACACGAGCUGACGACAACCAUGCACCACCUGUCUCCAUCGCCCCGAAGGGAAGGGACCGUUACGUCCCCGUCGCUGGGAUGUCAAGACUUGGUAAG
Molecule: ribosomal RNA, 533 nt
Filed under: uncultured bacterium
Lineage: Bacteria
Description: partial 16S ribosomal RNA
Source: RNAcentral